UUGCUUUAGCAGCACAUAUACUAAAAUUAGAACGAUACAGAGAAGAUUAGAAUGGCCCCUGCUCAAGGAUGGCACACAAAUUCUUGAAGUGUUCCAUAUUUUU
Molecule: small nuclear RNA, 103 nt
Organism: Lutra lutra (Eurasian river otter)
Lineage: Eukaryota; Metazoa; Chordata; Mammalia; Carnivora; Mustelidae
Source: RefSeq, a predicted model, not a curated record